This 500-nucleotide ribosomal RNA is filed under the name uncultured bacterium. RNAcentral describes it as "partial 16S ribosomal RNA". It matches the Rfam family "Bacterial small subunit ribosomal RNA", at positions 29 to 523 of the family's 1533-position model. The record is from RNAcentral.
AUUGAACGCUGGCGGAAUGCUUUACACAUGCAAGUCGAACGGCAGCACGGGGGCAACCCUGGUGGCGAGUGGCGAACGGGUGAGUAAUACAUCGGAACGUGCCCAGUCGUGGGGGAUAACGUAGCGAAAGCUACGCUAAUACCGCAUACGAUCUACGGAUGAAAGCGGGGGAUCGCAAGACCUCGCGCGAUUGGAGCGGCCGAUGGCAGAUUAGGUAGUUGGUGAGGUAAAGGCUCACCAAGCCGACGAUCUGUAGCUGGUCUGAGAGGACGACCAGCCACACUGGGACUGAGACACGGCCCAGACUCCUACGGGAGGCAGCAGUGGGGAAUUUUGGACAAUGGGCGCAAGCCUGAUCCAGCAAUGCCGCGUGCAGGAUGAAGGCCUUCGGGUUGUAAACUGCUUUUGUACGGAACGAAACGGCGAGCUCUAAUACAGUUUGCUAAUGGCGGUACCGUAAGAAUAAGCACCGGCUAACUACGUGCCAGCAGCCGCGGUAA